AUUGAACGCUGGCGGCAUGCUUUACACAUGCAAGUCGAACGGCAGCGGGGUAGUGCUUGCACUACUGCCGGCGAGUGGCGAACGGGUGAGUAGUAUAUUGGAACGUACCGAGUCAUGGGGGAUAACCAAUCGAAAGAUUGGCUAAUACCGCAUACGCUCUGAGGCGGAAAGCAGGGGAGCUUCGGGCCUUGCGUUAUUCGAGCGGCCAAUAUCUGAUUAGCUAGUUGGUGGGGUAAGGGCCUACCAAGGCGACGAUCAGUAGCGGGUCUGAGAGGCUGAUGCGCCACACUGGAACUGAGACACGGCCCAGACUCCUACGGGAGGCAGCAGUGGGGAAUUUUGGACAAUGGGCGCAAGCCUGAUCCAGCCAUGCCGCGUGUGUGACGAAGGCCUUCGGGUUGUAAAGGACUUUUGUUAGGGAAGAAAAAGGAGCGGUUAAUACCCGUUUCUGCUGACGGUACCUAAAGAAUAAGCACCGGCUAACUACGUG
Molecule: ribosomal RNA, 490 nt
Filed under: uncultured bacterium
Lineage: Bacteria
Description: partial 16S ribosomal RNA
Rfam family: Bacterial small subunit ribosomal RNA
Source: RNAcentral